RNAcentral lists this ribosomal RNA (831 nucleotides) under Rhodococcoides corynebacterioides. Its description in RNAcentral is "bacterial SSU rRNA". It matches the Rfam family "Bacterial small subunit ribosomal RNA", at positions 81 to 912 of the family's 1533-position model. The record is from RNAcentral. Lineage: Bacteria; Bacillati; Actinomycetota; Actinomycetes; Mycobacteriales; Nocardiaceae.
UACGGGGUACACGAGUGGCGAACGGGUGAGUAACACGUGGGUGAUCUGCCCUGCACUUCGGGAUAAGCCCGGGAAACUGGGUCUAAUACCGGAUAGGACUGCGCGGUGCAUGCCGUGUGGUGGAAAGAUUUAUCGGUGCAGGAUGGGCCCGCGGCCUAUCAGCUUGUUGGUGGGGUAAUGGCCUACCAAGGCGACGACGGGUAGCCGGCCUGAGAGGGCGACCGGCCACACUGGGACUGAGACACGGCCCAGACUCCUACGGGAGGCAGCAGUGGGGAAUAUUGCACAAUGGGCGCAAGCCUGAUGCAGCGACGCCGCGUGAGGGAUGACGGCCUUCGGGUUGUAAACCUCUUUCAGCAGGGACGAAGCGUGAGUGACGGUACCUGCAGAAGAAGCACCGGCCAACUACGUGCCAGCAGCCGCGGUAAUACGUAGGGUGCAAGCGUUGUCCGGAAUUACUGGGCGUAAAGAGCUCGUAGGCGGUUUGUCGCGUCGUCUGUGAAAACCAGCAGCUCAACUGUUGGCUUGCAGGCGAUACGGGCAGACUUGAGUAUUUCAGGGGAGACUGGAAUUCCUGGUGUAGCGGUGAAAUGCGCAGAUAUCAGGAGGAACACCGGUGGCGAAGGCGGGUCUCUGGGAAAUAACUGACGCUGAGGAGCGAAAGCGUGUGUAGCGAACAGGAUUAGAUACCCUGGGUAGUCCACGCCGUAAACGGUGGGCGCUAGGGUGUGGGUUUCCCUUACAUCGGGAUCCGUGCACGUAGCUAACGGCAUUAAGCGCCCCUGCCCUGGGAGAAGUACUGGACCGCAAGGCUAAAACUCAAAGGAAAUU